CGGCGUGCUUAACACAUGCAAGUCGAACGGAAAGGCCCUGCUUUUGUGGGGUGCUCGAGUGGCGAACGGGUGAGUAACACGUGAGUAACCUGCCCUUGACUUUGGGAUAACUUCAGGAAACUGGGGCUAAUACCGGAUAGGAGCUCCUGCUGCAUGGUGGGGGUUGGAAAGUUUCGGCGGUUGGGGAUGGACUCGCGGCUUAUCAGCUUGUUGGUGGGGUAGUGGCUUACCAAGGCUUUGACGGGUAGCCGGCCUGAGAGGGUGACCGGCCACAUUGGGACUGAGAUACGGCCCAGACUCCUACGGGAGGCAGCAGUGGGGAAUAUUGCACAAUGGGCGGAAGCCUGAUGCAGCAACGCCGCGUGCGGGGUGACGGCCUUCGGGCUGUAAACCGCUUUCGCCUGUGACGAAGCGUGAGUGACGGUAAUGGGUAAAGAAGCACCGGCUAACUACGUGCCAGCAGCCGCGGUGAUACGUAGGGUGCGAGCGUUGUCCGGAUUUAUUGGGCGUAAAGGGCUCGUAGGUGGUUGAUCGCGUCGGAAGUGUAAUCUUGGGGCUUAACCCUGAGCGUGCUUUCGAUACGGGUUGACUUGAGGAAGGUAGGGGAGAAUGGAAUUCCUGGCGGAGCGGUGGAAUGCGCAGAUAUCAGGAGGAACACCAGUGGCGAAGGCGGUUCUCUGGGCCUUUCCUGACGCUGAGGAGCGAAAGCGUGGGGAGCGAACAGGCUUAGAUACCCUGGUAGUCCACGCUGUAAACGGUGGGUACUAGGUGUGGGGUCCAUUCCACGGGUUCCGUGCCGUAGCUAACGCUUUAAGUACCCCGCCUGGGGAGUACGGCCGCAAGGCUAAAACUCAAAGGAAUUGACGGGGCCCCGCACAAGCGGCGGAGCAUGCGGAUUAAUUCGAUGCAACGCGUAGAACCUUACCUGGGUUUGACAUGGAUCGGGAGUGCUCAGAGAUGGGUGUGCCUCUUUUGGGGUCGGUUCACAGGUGGUGCAUGGCUGUCGUCAGCUCGUGUCGUGAGAUGUUGGGUUAAGUCCCGCAACGAGCGCAACCCUUGUUCACUGUUGCCAGCACGUUAUGGUGGGGACUCAGUGGAGACCGCCGGGGUCAACUCGGAGGAAGGUGGGGAUGACGUCAAGUCAUCAUGCCCCUUAUGUCCAGGGCUUCACGCAUGCUACAAUGGCUGGUACAGAGAGUGGCGAGCCUGUGAGGGUGAGCGAAUCUCGGAAAGCCGGUCUCAGUUCGGAUUGGGGUCUGCAACUCGACCUCAUGAAGUCGGAGUCGCUAGUAAUCGCAGAUCAGCAACGCUGCGGUGAAUACGUUCCCGGGGCUUGUACACACCGCCCGUCAAGUCAUGAAAGUUGGUAACACCCGAAGCCGGUGGCCUAACCGUUGUGGGGGAGCCGUCGAAGGUGGGACUGGUGAUUAGG
RNAcentral lists this ribosomal RNA (1432 nucleotides) under uncultured organism. RNAcentral's name for it is "16S ribosomal RNA". It matches the Rfam family "Bacterial small subunit ribosomal RNA". The record is from RNAcentral.